Molecule: transfer RNA, 92 nt
Filed under: Bacillus sp. RO1
Lineage: Bacteria; Bacillati; Bacillota; Bacilli; Caryophanales; Bacillaceae
Description: tRNA-Thr
Rfam family: tRNA
About the family: Transfer RNA (tRNA) molecules are approximately 80 nucleotides in length. Their secondary structure includes four short double-helical elements and three loops (D, anti-codon, and T loops).
Source: RNAcentral
GGAGAGCUGUCCGAGUGGCCGAAGGAGCACGAUUGGUACUCGUGUAGACGGUCAAGGCCGUCUCAUGGGUUCACAUCCCUUGUUCUCCGCCA